This 2218-nucleotide ribosomal RNA is filed under the name Salmonella enterica. RNAcentral's name for it is "partial 23S ribosomal RNA". It matches the Rfam family "Bacterial large subunit ribosomal RNA", at positions 711 to 2824 of the family's 2925-position model. Lineage: Bacteria; Pseudomonadati; Pseudomonadota; Gammaproteobacteria; Enterobacterales; Enterobacteriaceae. The record is from RNAcentral. RNAcentral also lists the same sequence under 1 other name.
AGACCCGAAACCCGGUGAUCUAGCCAUGGGCAGGUUGAAGGUUGGGUAACACUAACUGGAGGACCGAACCGACUAAUGUUGAAAAAUUAGCGGAUGACCUGUGGCUGGGGGUGAAAGGCCAAUCAAACCGGGAGAUAGCUGGUUCUCCCCGAAAGCUAUUUAGGUAGCGCCUCGUGAAUUCAUCUCCGGGGGUAGAGCACUGUUUCGGCUAGGGGGCCAUCCCGGCUUACCAACCCGAUGCAAACUGCGAAUACCGGAGAAUGUUAUCACGGGAGACACACGGCGGGUGCUAACGUCCGUCGUGAAGAGGGAAACAACCCAGACCGCCAGCUAAGGUCCCAAAGUCAUGGUUAAGUGGGAAACGAUGUGGGAAGGCCCAGACAGCCAGGAUGUUGGCUUAGAAGCAGCCAUCAUUUAAAGAAAGCGUAAUAGCUCACUGGUCGAGUCGGCCUGCGCGGAAGAUGUAACGGGGCUAAACCAUGCACCGAAGCUGCGGCAGCGAACGUAUCACCCAAGACAACUUUACGGAGUUGACGAUUGACGGAGCGAAGCGACGUCAAAGCGUUCAUUAAAGUCGAGUUGGCUUAGGGAUACGUUCGUUGGGUAGGGGAGCGUUCUGUAAGCCUGUGAAGGUGUGUCGUGAGGCAUGCUGGAGGUAUCAGAAGUGCGAAUGCUGACAUAAGUAACGAUAAAGCGGGUGAAAAGCCCGCUCGCCGGAAGACCAAGGGUUCCUGUCCAACGUUAAUCGGGGCAGGGUGAGUCGACCCCUAAGGCGAGGCCGAAAGGCGUAGUCGAUGGGAAACGGGUUAAUAUUCCCGUACUUGGUGUUACUGCGAAGGGGGGACGGAGAAGGCUAUGUUGGCCGGGCGACGGUUGUCCCGGUUUAAGCGUGUAGGUGUGUGUUCCAGGUAAAUCCGGUUCACUUUAACACUGAGGCGUGACGACGAGGCACUACGGUGCUGAAGCAACAAAUGCCCUGCUUCCAGGAAAAGCCUCUAAGCAUCAGGUAACAUCAAAUCGUACCCCAAACCGACACAGGUGGUCAGGUAGAGAAUACCAAGGCGCUUGAGAGAACUCGGGUGAAGGAACUAGGCAAAAUGGUGCCGUAACUUCGGGAGAAGGCACGCUGACACGUAGGUGAAGUGAUUUACUCAUGGAGCUGAAGUCAGUCGAAGAUACCAGCUGGCUGCAACUGUUUAUUAAAAACACAGCACUGUGCAAACACGAAAGUGGACGUAUACGGUGUGACGCCUGCCCGGUGCCGGAAGGUUAAUUGAUGGGGUCAGCGUAAGCGAAGCUCCUGAUCGAAGCCCCGGUAAACGGCGGCCGUAACUAUAACGGUCCUAAGGUAGCGAAAUUCCUUGUCGGGUAAGUUCCGACCUGCACGAAUGGCGUAAUGAUGGCCAGGCUGUCUCCACCCGAGACUCAGUGAAAUUGAACUCGCUGUGAAGAUGCAGUGUACCCGCGGCAAGACGGAAAGACCCCGUGAACCUUUACUAUAGCUUGACACUGAACAUUGAGCCUUGAUGUGUAGGAUAGGUGGGAGGCUUUGAAGUGUGGACGCCAGUCUGCAUGGAGCCGACCUUGAAAUACCACCCUUUAAUGUUUGAUGUUCUAACGUGGACCCGUAAUCCGGGUUGCGGACAGUGUCUGGUGGGUAGUUUGACUGGGGCGGUCUCCUCCUAAAGAGUAACGGAGGAGCACGAAGGUUGGCUAAUCCUGGUCGGACAUCAGGAGGUUAGUGCAAUGGCAUAAGCCAGCUUGACUGCGAGCGUGACGGCGCGAGCAGGUGCGAAAGCAGGUCAUAGUGAUCCGGUGGUUCUGAAUGGAAGGGCCAUCGCUCAACGGAUAAAAGGUACUCCGGGGAUAACAGGCUGAUACCGCCCAAGAGUUCAUAUCGACGGCGGUGUUUGGCACCUCGAUGUCGGCUCAUCACAUCCUGGGGCUGAAGUAGGUCCCAAGGGUAUGGCUGUUCGCCAUUUAAAGUGGUACGCGAGCUGGGUUUAGAACGUCGUGAGACAGUUCGGUCCCUAUCUGCCGUGGGCGCUGGAGAACUGAGGGGGGCUGCUCCUAGUACGAGAGGACCGGAGUGGACGCAUCACUGGUGUUCGGGUUGUCAUGCCAAUGGCACUGCCCGGUAGCUAAAUGCGGAAGAGAUAAGUGCUGAAAGCAUCUAAGCACGAAACUUGCCCCGAGAUGAGUUCUCCCUGAGACUUAG